CUGAGGGUGUAUAUCCCAUACACCAUCAGGUACUAACAGAGAAACUAAUAAUCAUGUAUUGGUUUUUGGUGUUCUUGACCAAUAGAUCACUGGUGAUGGUUGUAGUUUUAGUAAUUAACAUGUAGCUGCAAUACUUAUAAAUUUCACCAGCUAAAUUCCAAAAACAUCAAAUUAAUUAAAUAUAAGAUGAUGCACAGAUAUUUGUCCUUAUUUCCGGAAUUUCAAUUCAUGGAGUGUUGGCGCGCCUAUGUGCCAGAGGUAGACCAACAGUGGAUUUCAAAAGCCCUGUUCAAAUACAGCAGUAAGGGCCACCCUGAGCUGGAUGAAAGGAAGUUGGAUGGUUUUUUGUACGAAUCCCCAAAGUCCCAGUUGCUGCCAAACCUAAAGCCUAGACUUGACAGUUCAGUGCUUCUGGAAAGCCACAACCAUACCUAAGCUGCAGUAAUCUACAAAGCACUACAGGGAAAGGGAGCUGGAUGCUGAGCAGGCAGGGGAGUUCCGGAGAAAGUACAACAAGACGCUGCAAUACCGCAGUUGAAAUAAGUGUUUUGAGGACAGGAACACUGGUGAAUAUAAACAAUAUUAUGGACAUUGGGGAUGUCCCUUGAAGUCCUUGGGAACUUAUGAAGAGUGGAAAGAGGCCCUUAAGAUGAAGGGCUAUGGAAAGAAGAAAACUGGAAACGAUAAUAAUUAAUAUCUGGACAUUCAUGCAUAAACAAUAUCCGGAAUAAAUAACAUUUUUUGACACUGUGCGUUUGGACUAUAAAAAACAACAGAAAUAACAUUCACUUUAACAACAGGACUUGUACCAAUUAAAGUAACAAUUAAAAAAAUAUAUUUUAAUGCUGCCUAGCUUUAAUUCAGUAUUGCUCUGUAAUUUAUUCAUUUAUGUUUUGCUUAUAUAAAAGCUAGAAGGUCCCAAGCCCGUAUGGUACAUGUAAUAAGUAAAGUGACAUCUGCCUUGAAAAGCAAAGGGAAAAUUUGUUGAAUAAACUUCAAUACAUGUA
This is a long non-coding RNA of Dreissena polymorpha, 1007 nucleotides long. RefSeq lists it as uncharacterized. NCBI's taxonomy places the organism in Eukaryota, Metazoa, Mollusca, Bivalvia, Myida, Dreissenidae. The record is from RefSeq and is a predicted model, not a curated record. The transcript has 2 exons.